AUCCCAGCCCAUCGUCAUGCCUACAAGCCCUCUAGUAUUCGGGACCUCGCCAUCUUGACCCGAACAUCCUUUUUAACCCCAAAGUCUAUUCACACUGCAUCAACAGGCUUCAUCGUCACUCAUUUUACACAGGGGUCUGGCAGCUAGGAUUGGUGGUUUAACACAAUAAUCCCAGCAAUCAGGAGGUGACAGCAGGAGGGUUGUCGCCUCUUUUUGACUAUGGUUUGGAUAAGUGUCGGGGGCCUGACGUGGUGUGGCAAACAGGCAAGGAAUAGGAGGAGGCUUCAUAAUGUAGGCUCUUGGGGGGAAAUGAUACCCUCAGGCCCCCUACUCUCUCCAGCCUGGCUCUCUGUCGACUUCUUAACCCAUCAAGAAUCUGACUCAGUCUUCUGAGGAUUCAGCUGCUUGCCCAAAACCCUCCACCUGGGAAGAUAAGGUAGACCACACAGCAAAGCCACAAGGCUGUUGCAGAUUAUGACUCUCCUGGACAUGACCUCUCUUCACUACUGUGGAUGAAGUUCUUAAGUCUCAACCUAGAAGGUCUGCUGGGGUUGUCCAGUCUAGGCCCUUCCAGCCAGCGGCUGGGACACUGAUGUUCUAAGUCCCAGGAGUUCUCAGCCUGUGCAGUCCCAUCAGUAGGGAUCCUUUGCUCCCCAGAAUGCUUAGUGUGCCAACAGCUGCAUGGACAGAGGCAGCUGUAGGCCAAAGGGACACGGACGCUUGAUGAUGAAACCAUAAAUCCCAUUUCUUGACCUAGGUUCUCUGCAGCACCCUUGUAGUCAGACCUCUGCCUUCAAGAGGGCGGCAACUUCCUUUCGAAUCCUUCCUCUGGCUCCUGAAACAUGAAAGAAAGUCUCUCCGGAUUAGUCAGAGGGGUAGCCAUGUGGCAUACGUCUGCAUUUCCUUGGGAUAUUGUCCCAGAUAUGGGCUGUCUGACAGAGCUGAGCUCUCAGUUCUAGCCAUGCAGCCUGUUCCUGUUCCUGGGCUGUGCCUACUGCAGUCCUCCUGGUAGCCAUUCUUCCCUCCAUGGGCCCAACUCCAUUCUUACUUACAAGGAGUAAAUGUGAAGAUUGGGUCUGAGGUCUGACCCCAGCCUCUGGGCUGCCUUCCUGCAAUGGUGUAAACUGUUCUUUUUUCCGUCGACAUUCGGUAAACAUGGUGAUGUGCCAGGCCCUCAGUAGGUGCUGGACCCCAGGAUUGUUAGUCUGAUGGUCAAGCUGCCCACAAGGAGCUGGCACACGGGCAGAGUCCAGGAUUCUCAGGAAGACAAAGGUGGUUAGGUAAGUCCACAUGAAAACAGUUCAACAGGGUAACAGACCAGAGAGGAUGCGUGGUACUGCAGGACGUUGGAGGAGGCUGUCCCUGUGAGGAGAGCAGUGCUGGGCACAGCCUGGGUGGGAGGAAAGACAGGAUGAGCAGAGGGCCGUGAGAGCAGCCAUGAGACACGCUGCCAGCAUGAAUGACUGGACACGGCUUCUGGUGGUAAUACAUUGUCAAUGAGCACCAGUGGAAAUCUUCAUGCAAGUCUUACUUUCCAUGAAAUAGUAUUCCAAAAAUCCUUCCUUAGCUUCCUGGCCCCAGGACAGUGGUGGCAGAGUGAUCCUGGCCGACCUGCUGCAGUGCCCCCUCCCCUGUGCUCUGGUGAUGGGAAAGGCAGAUGGUGAGGGACAGACAGCAGCCAGAGAGCAUCCAGAAAGGGCACAAUGACUCAGCCCCAGAAAUUGGAGGUCACGCUGCAUUUGCAGGGCUCUGAGCAUCCUUGGCACAUGCCUCUGGGAAUUUCAGAGCCUGUGUGACUCCAGGAAGCAGGUGUCAUCCUCCGGGAACUGAGCUGUGCCUCAGCCAGAAUCUGAAGUCACUGCUGCUCCCACCUUGGAUACCCGGUCACCUUAAGAAAACCCAUUCAGAGUCUGGGAUUUUUCUUUUCCUCUGAAAUUAAGAACUGAAUGGGCAGGUGCACGCACCCAAUCCCUCUCAGCCUCUGAUUUGCUGUCACUAGUGUUCUUUGUAGACAUUUCCGAUUGGGACUCUGGCCUUCAGAACGGUGGCAAGCUUCUGAGAGGCUCCCAGGGUGAGGCUGACCUCAGCGGGAGCCACAGUCCAACAUUUUUGCAUCACAGGCCUCCCUUCUUCAUCUGCUGAGGACACCUGUGCCGACUGUGUGUCAACUUGACACAAGCCGGGGUCAUCAGAAGAAGGAGCCUCAGCUGAGGAAACGCCUCCAUAAGAUCCAGCUCUCCUGCCUCCAGGAUCCUGCCCUGCUUGAGUUCCUGUCCUGACCUCUUCCAAUGAAUAAUAGUGAUGCAGAAGUGUAAGUCAAAUAAACACUUUCCUCUCUAA
This is a non-coding RNA of Cricetulus griseus (Chinese hamster), 2340 nucleotides long. The record is from RefSeq and is a predicted model, not a curated record. Lineage: Eukaryota; Metazoa; Chordata; Mammalia; Rodentia; Cricetidae.